Molecule: ribosomal RNA, 403 nt
Filed under: Verrucomicrobiota bacterium
Lineage: Bacteria; Pseudomonadati; Verrucomicrobiota
Description: Verrucomicrobia bacterium partial 16S ribosomal RNA
Rfam family: Bacterial small subunit ribosomal RNA
Source: RNAcentral
UGGGGAAUAUUGCACAAUGGGGGAAACCCUGAUGCAGCGACGCCGCGUGAGCGAAGAAGGUUUUCGAAUCGUAAAGCCCUGUCCUAUGAGAAGAUAAUGACGGUAUCAUAGGAGGAAGCCCCGGCUAAAUACGUGCCAGCAGCCGCGGUAAUACGUAUGGGGCGAGCGUUGUCCGGAAUUAUUGGGCGUAAAGGGUACGUAGGCGGUCUAUUAAGUCAGGUGUGAAAGCGUGAGGCUUAACCUCAUUAAGCACUUGAAACUGAUAGACUUGAGUGAAGGGGAGGAAAGUGGAAUUCCUAGUGUAGCGGUGAAAUGCGUAGAUAUUAGGGAGAAUACCGGUGGCGAAGGCGACUUUCUGGACUUUUACUGCCGCUCAGGUACGAAAGCGUGGGGAGCAAACAGG